RNAcentral lists this transfer RNA (73 nucleotides) under Opitutia bacterium TMED67. RNAcentral's name for it is "Opitutae bacterium TMED67 tRNA-Ala". It matches the Rfam family "tRNA". From Rfam's summary of the family: Transfer RNA (tRNA) molecules are approximately 80 nucleotides in length. Their secondary structure includes four short double-helical elements and three loops (D, anti-codon, and T loops). Lineage: Bacteria; Pseudomonadati; Verrucomicrobiota; Opitutia. The record is from RNAcentral.
GGGGAUAUAGCUCAAUUGGUAGAGCGCUGCUUUUGCACGGCAGAUGUUAGCGGUUCAAGUCCGCUUAUCUCCA